GACGAACGCUGGCGGCGUGCUUAACACAUGCAAGUCGAACGGAAAGGCCUGCUUUCCCUUGUGGGUUGCGGGUACUCGAGUGGCGAACGGGUGAGUAACACGUGAGUGAUCUGCCCCCAACUUGGGUAUAAGCCUGGGAAACUGGGUCUAAUUCCCGAUAGGACUGCAGGGUGGUGCCUGUGGUGGAAAACGAUUUUCUAGUGGUUGGGGAUGAGCUCGAGGCCUAUCAGCUUGUUGGUGGGGUAAUGGCCUACCAAGGCGGCGACGGGUAGCCGGCCUGAGAGCGUGGACGGCCGCAUUGGGACUGGGAUACGGCCCAGACUCCUACGGGCGGCAGGAGUUGGGAAUAUUGGACCAUGGGCGGAAGCCUGAUGCAGCGACGCCGCGUGGGGGAUGACGGCCUUCGGGUUGUCAACUCCUUUCGACCGAGAGGAAGCCACCUGGUUGGAAGGGUGGUGACGGUAGUGGUAGAAGAAGCACCGGCUAACUACGUG
Molecule: ribosomal RNA, 494 nt
Filed under: uncultured bacterium
Lineage: Bacteria
Description: partial 16S ribosomal RNA
Rfam family: Bacterial small subunit ribosomal RNA
Source: RNAcentral